UACGUAGGGUGCGAGCGUUAAUCGGAAUUACUGGGCGUAAAGCGUGCGCAGGCGGUUUUGUAAGCCAGAUGUGAAAUCCCCGGGCUUAACCUGGGAAUGGCAUUUGGGACUGCAAGGCUCGAGUGCGGCAGAGGAGACUGGAAUUCCUGGUGUAGCAGUGAAAUGCGUAGAUAUCAGGAGGAACACCGAUGGCGAAGGCAGGUCUCUGGGACGGUACUGACGCUGAGACGCGAAAGCGUGGGGAGCGAACAGG
Molecule: ribosomal RNA, 253 nt
Filed under: uncultured bacterium
Lineage: Bacteria
Description: partial 16S ribosomal RNA
Rfam family: Bacterial small subunit ribosomal RNA
Source: RNAcentral